RNAcentral lists this ribosomal RNA (157 nucleotides) under uncultured bacterium. Its description in RNAcentral is "partial 16S ribosomal RNA". It matches the Rfam family "Bacterial small subunit ribosomal RNA", at positions 335 to 507 of the family's 1533-position model. The record is from RNAcentral.
AUCCUACGGGAGGCAGCAGUAGGGAAUAUUGCACAAUGGAGGAAACUCUGAUGCAGCGACGCCGCGUGAGUGAUGAAGGACUUCGGUUUGUAAAGCUCUGUUGUCGGGGAAUAAAAAAAUGAAUGUACCCGACGAGAAAGGACCGGCUAACUUCGUG